CUGUGCCUCGCACGCAUCGCUUCUGAAGAUUCCUAUAUUUUUCUGCCUCGCGCCAGGCAUUCGCCCGUUCCACUAGCCCUCGUCUCCUUCCAGACCGAGGCCUCACUUUCCCCACCGUGUUCUCGCUCUCUUCUUCCUCUUGAUUCCAUUUCUUUCUCCAUAGUCUGGCAUUUCCCCAAAAUCCCUACUCUUUCUCAAAAAAAAUCCGCCCUUCUCAACCAACAUGGAUUCCUAGCCUGGAGGUUCCGCACCCUCAACAUUCAAUCGAAGAACUACCGUACCCCGCGGAUCUGGUGGUUCUUCUUCCAUUUGUACUGAGGUUGAUAGAGCCUAACCUCCUUUGCUACUGUGGUGUCCCGGCGCGGAGGCUAAUAUCCGGGACCGAGAUGCAAACUUUGGAUCUGGAAGAUGUUCUCAUGCAAUUUGUUGGGGAUAUGGUGGACUUCUGUGUCUCGAACAUUGCUAAGGUGGUUUUGCCUUCUCUUACACUACAGGAAGAACAUGGUUUGAACUUUGAACAGAGCAGAGGACGCAGGACGGAAAUCACGGCACCUGCCUUCCUUGAUGAUUUGAUGUUGUUGGUUAAUUAAGUCUUUUGAUUGUUCUUAAAAUCAUUGUGUCGUUACAAAUUUAGUGGUGUGCACCCUUGUGAGCAAGUUGUUGCCGGAUUGAUCGGAGAAGUGAAACAAAGCUUUGAAGGAGAUUCAUUACCUGAAGAAGUUAAGAAGAGCAUUAGUGAAGUAGGCUCUUGGCCCUAGCUUACAACCUCGUUGUAGUCCAUUUUUGCAGAGUCAGUGUACUAAAAUGUUUGUAAACUGAUGCACAUGGUUCGAACCCGUUCGUGGAUAUAGUAGGAAGUGCUAUGUGGAGCCAUUAUAACUCUACUUAAUGAAAUGGAUUUCUUGUAUUAUUUUGCCUGCAA
Molecule: long non-coding RNA, 922 nt
Organism: Panicum virgatum (switchgrass)
Lineage: Eukaryota; Viridiplantae; Streptophyta; Magnoliopsida; Poales; Poaceae
Exons: 2
Source: RefSeq, a predicted model, not a curated record